UACGAAGGGUGCAAGCGUUAUUCGGAUUUAUUGGGCGUAAAGCGCGCGUAGGCGGGUUAAUAAGUCAGAUGUGAAAUCUCGGGGCUCAACCUCGAACCUGCGUCUGAAACUGUUAAUCUAGAAUUUCGGAGGGGGAAGGGGAAUUUCGCAUGUAGGGGUAAAAUCCGUAGAGAUGCGAAAGAACAUCAGGGGCGAAGGCGCCUUCCUGGACGAAUUAUUGACGCUAAUGUGCGAAAGCGUGGGGAGCAAACAGGAUUAGAUACCCUGGUAGUCCACGCUGUAAACGAUGAGCACUAGACAUUGUGGGCAUUUGGUCCUGCGGUGUCGUAGCUAACGCAUUAAGUGCUCCGCCUGGGGAGUACGGUCGCAAGACUAAA
RNAcentral lists this ribosomal RNA (377 nucleotides) under uncultured bacterium. Its description in RNAcentral is "bacterial SSU rRNA". It matches the Rfam family "Bacterial small subunit ribosomal RNA", at positions 524 to 898 of the family's 1533-position model. The record is from RNAcentral.